ACCACUCAGUUUUUCAUGCUGAGGAAAGGGAGGAGGAAAGCGUGGAGGAGUGGGGGUCACAAACCAGCGGAGCACAGCCUGAAGCCAGGCCACGACUUGGUGAAUAACGUCAGGCUCACACAUCUGGCCUCCGGAAUGCGGAGGGCCCAGAGGACAGGCCUGGGGUUCUGCUGCUCCUUGGGGCAGGCUCUUCCUCUGAAAUCACCAAGGCUGCUUCGUUGAGAAAAGUCUUGGGCUUUCUAGGCUCUCCUGGCCCAACUCAGGUGGUGACGUGUGAAAUGGGCAUUCUUUGCCCACUGAUGAAGACCAGGUCUCCAUAGACACAGGAUCAAAAGAAGCAAGGCUCCAGAGUCUGAUGGCUCUGGAGUGGAUCCCUGGCUGGGCGACCCUGGCCAGUACUUUGGUUUCCUCCUCUGUGCACGAGCAUCACAUUCUGCAGGGUCUGGAGGAAGGAUAACCUGCAGAAUGCCCGGCAGCUGCUGGACGUCCAAUCAAUGCUCCUGACCACCUGCCCAAGUCAGCGAACAAGAUGGUUACUCUGCCAGGGCUAGGACCUGGGCCCGUUGGAGGUUUUGCUGCCUGUUAGUCAAAGAAAGCUGUCAAUCAGGAACUGGAAGAUGCCGCUUGCAGGGACCCAGUGAUGGUCUGUCCUGUGAAGAGCCUCCCCAGCUUAUCCUUGAGCAAGGGGGAUACCUAGGAGUGGAAUUGCUGGAUCACAUGGAUUUCCUACAUAUAGAAUCAUGUCAUCUGAGAAUGAAGACAGUGUACUUCUUCCUUUCCAGUCUGGAUGCCUCUUGCCUGUUUCUUGUUCCCGUGAGGCUUGUUCCUGUUUGGGGGUGUCUGCCUGAGUUGUUCUUCCCCCAGCUGUUCCAUGGCUCACUCCCUCACCUCCUUAGGUCUUUACUCAAAUGUCAACUUCUUGCCAAGGCCUUCUUGGAACACCCUACUUAAACUGAACCCCUCCUCACACCCCACACCCCUAACCCUUUUUCUUGCUUUGUAUUUCUCCACAGCACUGACCAUCUCAGACUUUAUACCUCUCCCCUCUCAAGAUGGUCCUGAGAGUUCCAAGAACAAAUAAUAUGCCUGGAAGGAGGGCCUGAGCUGGUGCUUAGCCAGGGUUGGAUGAAGGAGGGUCCAGAAGGGGCGUUCUCUGGGGCACUCAGACCCCUGCCCCACCCUUCCUGGCUGGGAGGGGAAGGGUCUCCAUGCAAAUGGGAAGACAUUCAGGAGGCACUAGGUGGGGGUCCCCGGGGAGGCUCAUAUACACCCGUGCCUGCCUAAACAGCCCAGCCACACCCAGACAGGGCCCAGCCUCGACAAGGGGUCUACCUGAAGCUUGUUUGCACUUCAUUUCACCUGAAUAGAAAAUGCUGGCGACUCAGGAGAUGGGGAGGACAGAGGUAGGUUCCCAGUGACUGCCCCAGCUGCAGACCCACUAGAGGUGAUCCUGCCUUUGGAGACUCCACUCUGCCCCUGGCAACCAGGAAAAUACAUUCCCUAUUUUCAUGGGGUUAAGGAACGGGAUCUCUUUACACCUCCUUAGCCGGGGGUGGGGGUGGGGGGGUGAUCCCGGAGCCCAGUCUGAGCAUAGGUGGGUGGAGGUUGCAGUGGAAAGAGCCCCCAGCUGGAUGUCAGACAAUCCUGGGUCCCUGUCCUGCUCUGUGUUUUUGCAGCAGAAUGAACUUAAGGCCUGAGAGUCAAGCCCUGGGUGGGUUUCCACCUCCAUCAAAUAGGCCUGAGGAAGCCCCCUCACCCUGGGUGGGAGGUUUGCUCCCCUACUCUGGGUCUCCAUUUCUUCAUCUGUACACCCAGUGUAAGAAUACAUCCUCCGUACAGCCACUAUGGAGAACAGUAUGGAAGUUCCUUAAAAAACUAAAAAUAGAACUACCAUACGACCCAGCAAUCCCACUACUGGGCAUAUACCCUGAGAAAACCAUAAUUCAAAAAGAGUCAUGUACCACAAUGUUCAUUGCAGCUCUAUUUACAAUAGCCAGGACAUGGAAGCAACCUAAGUGUCCAUCGACAGAUGAAUGGAUAAAGAAGAUGUGGUACAUAUAUACAAUGGAAUAUUACUCAGCCAUAAAAAGAAACGAAAUUGAGUUAUUUGUAGUGAGGUGGAUGGACCUAGAGUCUGUCAUACAGAGUGAAGUAAGUCAGAAAGAGAAAAACAAAUACCGUAUGCUAACACAUAUAUAUGGAAUCUAAAAAAAUUUAAAAAAAAAGGUCAUGAAGAACCUAGGGGCAAGAUGGGAAUAAAGACACAGACCUACUAGAGAAUGGACUUCAGGAUAUGGGGAGGGGGAACGGUAAGCUGGGACGAAGUGAGAGAGUGGCAUGGACAUAUAUACACUACCAAACGUAAAAUAGGUAGCUAGUGGGAAGCAGCCGCAUAGCACAGGGAGAUCAGCUUGGUGCU
Long non-coding RNA from Balaenoptera acutorostrata (minke whale), 2419 nucleotides. RefSeq lists it as uncharacterized. The record is from RefSeq and is a predicted model, not a curated record. The transcript has 4 exons. Lineage: Eukaryota; Metazoa; Chordata; Mammalia; Artiodactyla; Balaenopteridae.